Molecule: ribosomal RNA, 658 nt
Filed under: Salmonella enterica subsp. enterica serovar Mikawasima
Lineage: Bacteria; Pseudomonadati; Pseudomonadota; Gammaproteobacteria; Enterobacterales; Enterobacteriaceae
Also listed under: 2 other names
Description: partial 23S ribosomal RNA
Rfam family: Bacterial large subunit ribosomal RNA
Source: RNAcentral
GUGGACGCCAGUCUGCAUGGAGCCGACCUUGAAAUACCACCCUUUAAUGUUUGAUGUUCUAACGUGGACCCGUAAUCCGGGUUGCGGACAGUGUCUGGUGGGUAGUUUGACUGGGGCGGUCUCCUCCUAAAGAGUAACGGAGGAGCACGAAGGUUGGCUAAUCCUGGUCGGACAUCAGGAGGUUAGUGCAAUGGCAUAAGCCAGCUUGACUGCGAGCGUGACGGCGCGAGCAGGUGCGAAAGCAGGUCAUAGUGAUCCGGUGGUUCUGAAUGGAAGGGCCAUCGCUCAACGGAUAAAAGGUACUCCGGGGAUAACAGGCUGAUACCGCCCAAGAGUUCAUAUCGACGGCGGUGUUUGGCACCUCGAUGUCGGCUCAUCACAUCCUGGGGCUGAAGUAGGUCCCAAGGGUAUGGCUGUUCGCCAUUUAAAGUGGUACGCGAGCUGGGUUUAGAACGUCGUGAGACAGUUCGGUCCCUAUCUGCCGUGGGCGCUGGAGAACUGAGGGGGGCUGCUCCUAGUACGAGAGGACCGGAGUGGACGCAUCACUGGUGUUCGGGUUGUCAUGCCAAUGGCACUGCCCGGUAGCUAAAUGCGGAAGAGAUAAGUGCUGAAAGCAUCUAAGCACGAAACUUGCCCCGAGAUGAGUUCUCCCUGAGAC